RNAcentral lists this long non-coding RNA (579 nucleotides) under Homo sapiens (human). RNAcentral's name for it is "non-protein coding lnc-LAT2-1:1". Lineage: Eukaryota; Metazoa; Chordata; Mammalia; Primates; Hominidae. The record is from RNAcentral.
UGCGAAGAGGGUUCCGGUGGUGCCCUGGCGGCCAUCGCUGGAGGCCGCGGUUGCUAUGGGAGACCUGGCGCCCGGCCUGGGAGCGACAGGAAGGCGAGCUGUGGCCGCGACGCCUUCCGAGAAAGCAGGUCGCUCUCGGAACGGACGUUUGUGUGUGGUUUCUGUGGAAGAUCCGCUCCGCGGCGGCGUGGGAGGAGCAGGGCCUGGAGGGGUUGCGGCCAAACGCGGGCUUCGGUGUUGGGACACGGACAACGCUGGCGUCCGGGCGCUGCUGGGCAGCGGGGUCCGGGGAUGACGUCUGGGGCUGCCCGUGCCCACUUUUCCAGAUUGCUCUGAAUGUCCUAGUGAGCUGCUCCCGUUGGGUAGGCUCCUGCGCCUCAACCGCGCUCGGAAAAUAGGGACUCAAGGCCGGUGCGGUGGCUCACCCCUCUAAUCCCAGCACUUUGGGGGACAGAGACCGGAAGAGCGAUUAAGCCCAGGAGUUCGAGACCAGCCUGGGCAACAAAGUGAGAUCCCCGUCUCUACAAAAAUAAAAAUUAAAAAAGUAGCCGGGCGUGGUGGCGCGCACCUGCAGUUCCA